Non-coding RNA from Oncorhynchus mykiss (rainbow trout), 1201 nucleotides. NCBI's taxonomy places the organism in Eukaryota, Metazoa, Chordata, Actinopteri, Salmoniformes, Salmonidae. The record is from RefSeq and is a predicted model, not a curated record.
CUGACUUCAACUGUAUAUGGCCAAUAUACCACGGCUAAGGGCUGUAUCCAGGAACUCCGCGUUGCGCCGUGCAGAAGAACAGCCCUUAGCCGUGGAAUAUUGGCCAUAUUCCACACCCGUCGUACCUUAUUGCUUAAACAUACCACGGCUUUUAGCCAAUCAGCAUUCAUGCCAGCUGCCAACUUAGCCUCGAGAGAUAGGAACAGCGCCUGUCGAGGCCACUGCCACAACUCUGUCCAGAAAAAGGAGGAGUAUAAUUACAGUAUAAUUUUCUUCUCCCAUGCUUGUGCCUAGCGUUUGUUAACUUCUGUCUUCAUGCAUCUGUUUCAGGACUUUCAUCAUGACUACAUGGAAGUUGAUGGAAAUAUUUAGGAGGCACAGGCACAGAUGCCAACUUGUUCCAGAUAGUAUUUGGGAAUUACAGGGACACUGGUACGCUGGCACUGAAGGAGGGCGGUAGCAGAUACAAGUUUGAGUGAAAGUCGAAAUAUGUGUUCCGCUUCCCAGACAUCCUCAUCUUGGGAGAGUAGUCCAAGAUCCGCGUGUGGCGCGACAACAAGGGUCCUGCCCCAUGUUGGCACCUGGAGUACAUCAAUGUGAUAGAUGAGACCAUGGUCCAGAAUUUCCGUUUCCCAUGUGACCCCUGGCUGGCCAAGCAUGUCGACGACAGGCGAUCAUGAGAGAGCUGGCCUGCGCCAACAACUACAUCCUGGACUUCAGUGACAAGACCAAUGAGUUAACCUCUGACCCUGAUGUAGGCUAGUGAUGACAUGACCAAAGAUGUUAUAUGAAUGAAAAUGUCCCACUGGGCACAGUUGUCAGUUCAAUGCCUCGUUUUGAUUUACAUUUGUUUGUCAACUAACGUGAAUUCAACAUGAAAUCCCUCCCAAAAUUCACCAUGUCAUUGGAUUUAGGUUAAAAGUUGGACAAAAAAAAGACAAAAUGCCCUAACAUGACUUUUUGCUAAUCCAAUUAGUUUUACAAGUUGAUUCAAUGUUGGGGUGAAGUGGUGUGGAAACAAUGUUGAAUCAACCAGUUUAUUCCCAUUGGGGUACCACUCAGACCGUUUACUAUUGAACAACAAUUGUCUGCUCCCCCCCCGCUCCUUGAAAACAGCAGCUCUACCCUUUAGCUCAGUCUGAAUGUUGCCUGUAAUCCAUGGUUUCUGGUUGCGGUAUGUACAUACAGUCAAUGUGGGGAC